GUGGGCAAUCUGCCCUUCACUCUGGGACAAGCCCUGGAAACGGGGUCUAAUACCGGAUACACUCUGUCCCGCAUGGGACGGGGUUAAAAGCUCCGGCGGUGAAGGAUGAGCCCGCGGCCUAUCAGCUUGUUGGUGGGGUGAUGGCCUACCAAGGCGACGACGGGUAGCCGGCCUGAGAGGGCGACCGGCCACACUGGGACUGAGACACGGCCCAGACUCCUACGGGAGGCAGCAGUGGGGAAUAUUGCACAAUGGGCGAAAGCCUGAUGCAGCGACGCCGCGUGAGGGAUGACGGCCUUCGGGUUGUAAACCUCUUUCAGCAGGGAAGAAGCGAGAGUGACGGUACCUGCAGAAGAAGCGCCGGCUAACUACGUGCCAGCAGCCGCGGUAAUACGUAGGGCGCAAGCGUUGUCCGGAAUUAUUGGGCGUAAAGAGCUCGUAGGCGGCUUGUUGCGUCGGUUGUGAAAGCCCGGGGCUUAACCCCGGGUCUGCAGUCGAUACGGGCAGGCUAGAGUGUGGUAGGGGAGAUCGGAAUUCCUGGUGUAGCGGUGAAAUGCGCAGAUAUCAGGAGGAACACCGGUGGCGAAGGCGGAUCUCUGGGCCAUUACUGACGCUGAGGAGCGAAAGCGUGGGGAGCGAACAGGAUUAGAUACCCUGGUAGUCCACGCCGUAAACGUUGGGAACUAGGUGUUGGCGACAUUCCACGUCGUCGGUGCCGCAGCUAACGCAUUAAGUUCCCCGCCUGGGGAGUACGGCCGCA
RNAcentral lists this ribosomal RNA (760 nucleotides) under Streptomyces sp. S5n23. Its description in RNAcentral is "bacterial SSU rRNA". It matches the Rfam family "Bacterial small subunit ribosomal RNA", at positions 117 to 890 of the family's 1533-position model. Lineage: Bacteria; Bacillati; Actinomycetota; Actinomycetes; Kitasatosporales; Streptomycetaceae. The record is from RNAcentral.